This 59-nucleotide microRNA precursor is filed under the name Callorhinchus milii (elephant shark). RNAcentral describes it as "Cmi-Novel-20_pre stem-loop". Lineage: Eukaryota; Metazoa; Chordata; Chondrichthyes; Chimaeriformes; Callorhinchidae. The record is from RNAcentral.
AUUUUGAAGCCAAUUUUCUGUUAGUUCUUAAGUCCUGCAUAAAAUUGACUUCAAAGUUG